UAGGGAAUCUUGCGCAAUGGGCGAAAGCCUGACGCAGCAACGCCGCGUGGGGGAUGAAGGCCCUCGGGUUGUAAACCCCUUUCAGCAGGAACGAAUCUGACGGUACCUGCAGAAGAAGGCUCGGCUAACUACGUGCCAGCAGCCGCGGCAACACGUAGGGGCCAAGCGUUGUCCGGAUUCAUUGGGCGAAAAGAGCUCGUAGGCGGUUCAGUUAGUCUGGUUGGAAAUCGCCGGGCUCAACUCGGAGGGGCCACCCGAUACUGCUGUGACUCGAGUCGGGUAGGGGAGUGGGGAAUUCCUGGUGUAGCGGUGAAAUGCGCAGAUAACAGGAGGAACACCGGUGGCGAAGGCGCCACUCUGGGCCGGUACUGACGCUGAGGAGCGAAAGCGUGGGGAGCAAAGAGG
This 405-nucleotide ribosomal RNA is filed under the name bacterium. RNAcentral's name for it is "partial 16S ribosomal RNA". It matches the Rfam family "Bacterial small subunit ribosomal RNA", at positions 355 to 776 of the family's 1533-position model. The record is from RNAcentral.